GUCAGUCACAUCUGGAGGCUGGCUUGGCUACAAGUCUCCAACUGGAGGCUGGCUUGACACCAGUAGACGGUCGGUUCUGAUGAUGCUAGCUAAACGGAUCUAGAAGCUUUAUCCUAAACACUGUUAGCUUUAACAAUUUAAGUUUUUUGUUCAUCUGCACAAAGAUGUGUUGGAUAAUUUAAAGUAGUCAAAUCUAAAUCCCUAUAUUUAAUUUUGUUAGCUUAAAUUGCAUAGAUGGAGUUCUGGAGAAGGCUGGAGAUGGGGUUCUUGCCCUCCAGCUAGUGUGGAUGUGUGCAGUUACCCAGAUGUAAACAAUUUUCAUUGGGUCGUUACAUUUAAAAAACACCUUUAGAAAACUAAAAUUAACAAAAUAUGUAAAUGUUAAAAAGCUGUAUUUCGAUAGUUUUACGAUGGUUGUAACUGGGCCCUGUUGUAAAAUCUUUCCAGUGGGUCAUGUGUGGUCUGGCUAGUCUGUGACCACACAUUAUCUCCAUAGGACUCUUUUCUUAUCAUCUUAAAACAGUUUAUGUUUGAUCGGACUACUUUACAAGCUUUUGUUGACACGACAUUUAAAAUUUAACUGAGAUAUUAUUCAAAGAUGAUUCCCCAUUUAUAGAAAUGUGUUGAGGAUUAAGAGAGAAUCCUGUAGCCCUCUGGAAAUCAUAAACUGUCGGUUAAUUUAUCACUGACUGUGGCACCAUCUUUACCAGAUACACGAAAAACUGUGUCAUCAGCAUAUAUCUGUAAGCUCACCUCAGGUCAUACCUCUGGAAGAUAAUUGAUACAUAAGCUGAAUAGAAUGGGAUCUAGAAAUGUUCCUUUAAGUUUCGAUUUUUAGAAAAUUAGUUUUACAGUUAUUGUUGCUGACGCAUUCACAGUUCUGCAAAUAUGACUGAAACCAAGCGCUUGGAGAAAUGAAAGGAAGAAAGUUUUUAAAUUACUAUGCUAUAGUUUUCAGUAUCAAAUGCCUUUUUGAAAUCUAGAAAUACGGCAACAUUUCCUAAUUCCUAAUAUUCUAGGAGCUGCUCAGAAAAAAAUUUUGUCCAGGACUUGACAUGAUCAGUAGAAGGCUAAUGGGCCUGUAAUUAGCUUAGUCUUGGAUGUUCCCAGAUGGCUUCACCAGUGCCCUUUUCCAGCCAUCUGGAAACUGACCUGUUCUUGGAGGUUUGUGAACUUCCUUGAUGCCAAUUUUUAGUUCCUUCCAUAGAUCUAAGAUUCCUUCCUGUUGAAAUGUCCAAAGUAAUUUUUUCAGAGGACUCAUUUUUCUUUUGGAAUAACCACUAACUUUUUAUUUGAUGGUGUCUCUAAGAUCCUCUGUGAGGAAUUAUUUAAUAUUCUUAAUAAAAACAUCAGCAUGGAAUAAAGUUGAGUUAGCUGUGGAGCAUCCAUGUAGAAAUUAUCCAAAAACAGAACCAAUGGUAAACAGGAAGUAAAAUUUAGGGUAGGUCAAGAUUGGCCUUUUAGGCGGAAAGACGCUGAAGAAGCACUUUGACCUAAUGGACCUGGAGAUUGUUAUCUAAGAACAGAGGAUUAAAAAUGAUUGACUUUGUAAUUUUACUGCAAGAAAAUGGAUUUUAAAUUGGUUUUAAAGAAGGAAAUGUUUAAAAAUGAAUUUCCCCAACAAAUGUUUUUUUUUCAGUCAAAUGAAAGCUUAGUAAAUAAUUACUUAUAAAUUAGAAUUUGGCAUUGAUCUUGUUUCUGUGAAUCAAACUUCUAUUUUGAAUUGUAUAUCUAUGAACAUGUUUUACUUGAAUGAUAUUUUGAGGUUUUGGCUCCUCUUUCUUUUUUGUGCCUUUGCAAAAGCCUGGUUGUGUGAUUGUAUUUUGUAAUUUAUGCUGGGAACUGUACAUUUGACCCAUUUUGCUGCUUUUUGAGUUUUAUAGUGUUGAAUUGGAUUCUAUCUCUAGACUUUAUAAAAGCUUAUAUUCAGGAACACAAAAGGAGAUGUCAUGAUGAUUUAGCAUGUUUUGGAAUUGUGUGGAAAGCAGCGUGACUUUUAAAGCAGCUUCUUGACAAGGAAAUCCACCAAACAGCUACUGAAGGUGAAUAUUGCUUGAAGGUAUUUGCCGUGCUGGUCUCUGUUUGCUUUCUCAGGUUUCACUGUUUAUUUUUGUAAAAUGCUGUGAAUGUUCUCACUGCUGUAUAAAAAAGGUGUAAACGUGGUUCACCUAUUCAUUCAUAUGUUAUCAAAUGUGAAGUAUGUUUUUCCUCUGUUUUCAUUAUUUUCUGUUAUGAUUUUAAAAAAUUAAAAUGAAUAGAAACAGAAGUUUUCUUCAGUUUUACAUUAAAGUGACAGUGUGUAUUUUCCCUGGCGAUAGGGGGCAGUAGAUACCUAAAUCAUUGCAAGCAAGCGAUAUUUUUGUGUUCAAGUAAGACCGUAAUGUUGGCCAUUAGGUCAAAAAUCUUUGGGUGUGCAAUCUCCAGCUAAAUAACAUCAGAUUCCCUUUCAUCACUUGGAAUGAGUGAAGAGGUAAACGUGUAAAAGAACGGUUAUUAAUGCUGAAAGUUUUGUUACCAUUUGUUACAAAUCAGUAAAUGUGUUCUGUCCUCACGGGUGUCUGUAGAAGGAAACAUGGCAUACAAUAUGGCGUCGCCCAGAGACUUAGAUCCGCUCCCAUGCAUUUUAGAUGCAAUUUUUAUGGUUACAUGUUAUAAAACCGCCAAUAUUUUUCAACAAUUUACUAUCUUUUAAUUCAUUUACAACAUUUCAAUGAAUAUUUCCAGAGAUUAAUGGUAGAAACUACACAAUCUCACUUUAAAACAUCUUAAAGGCGUGUUUCCAUUGUAACUUCCAGGUUAUUUCUGGGUGGGGAGCAUCGACAUAUCUAUAUGAUCUGUUUUGGGGGUCUGUUGUGGGGGCUUGGGUGGGGAGAGACAAUGGCUCAGUCCUCUCUGCUGUUGUGUUUCCAUACAAAUGUAAACCUUUAAGGACUUUGCACAGACGUCAGCCUAUCGCGACUGUUUCGGCAGUGAGUGAUGUCACUGGUGAGCACCAAAAAGUGUCCACAUUAACAUUUAAGGUUUUAUUUCUGUCGGAGUACGGAAAUGUAAUCCAUUCGGAAGAGAGAGUGGCUGUAUAAUGUAAAAUGUGUUAGUUGACCAGAAGCACCAUUUAUUUACAGUGCUCUGUGAGGUCUGAUUAAAUACUUCUCCACAAGGCAGAGACGCACACGCAUUGACAGACAUUUUGCUUUCUGACUUCUCCGUCACCUGGGGAGUGUUGCAAAGCAAUUCCCCGCCAGGACAACAGAGGGCGUAGCGCUUUUCUGUGGUAUAAUGUCACCAUUACACUAAUGUAUCCGAUCCACGAUAGCAUAUUUACUAACCUGUUUAUAUAUUUCAGACUUUGUCACACGGAUUAAUUUGUCCUCCACUUCUUCAUGUGGAUGUCGUCUCUAAACCAUGCUCUAAUCCCACGUUUCCCAUCAUUUUUGUCUACGGAGAAAACAUUUGCUCUGUGUUUUUGUACUCCUUCAGUCACGGGUGAAUAAAUGUUCAUAUUUUUGGACGUUUCCCACGCUGCGUUCUUCAAUCUGUUCCGUGUGCGCCGCUAAAUAUCUUUUUACUUUUUGACAGUACAAUGGUGGUGCUGUUGACAAAUUUACAGGAAGGGUUGUCUUGACCAAUCACAGGUGUGGUCUCCGUCACUUUUGACAGAUAUUUAAAAAUUUGAGUGUGCCAGAAAGCCGUUGCACAGAUGUAUUUUUGCGUUGCGUGUCUCCGCACAGACGCAGGUGGUGAAGCCAAGCCAAUUUUAUUUGUAUAGCACCUCAGAACAGUAUAAACCCGACCAAAGUGCUUCACAUAAAUUAAAAACGAUACACAACAUAAAAUACAUGAAAACUAAAGCUUAAGAACUAACACUAAAAAGACUCAUGCUGAGUUAAAAACCAAAUUUCUGCUUCACAAGCAACUCUUCUAAAUUUCUAAUGCUGGUUGUUUUGGACCUCCAACCAAUCAGCAUGAGUUAACGAAAAGUUCUUCUCAGUAUCUCUACCGGGCCUUUCUGAGUAACUACCCCUGUUCAGGAGGUCUGUUGGUUCCUAAAAAUGGCCCGGUAAACGGCCUGUUCAACUCCGCCGGUGAAGGGGAGACACACAUGGGAAGUCCUGGUAAAGUCACCCGGAAGUUCUGAUAGUGGAAACACGCCUGAAGAGAUGAAGCCUUAUGGUCUGCCUGAUCAUUUCAUGAGUUCAAUAAUCUAAUAAAUGAAAUCAUGUAUAAUAUAGCACUUCUGAAGGGAAGUUCAUUACUACCAGUAUAACCAUUAAAUAAAAAAAUCAAUGUGGUAUCAAAUAGUAGCUGCAUAAACUGAAACAUUUGAGUUUGGGAUGAGAAGAGUCACCUUUCGGUGUUGUGUGACGGGGUGAGUACUCCCUCUUCUCUACAACAUCUUUGUAAGAUCUUCAUUCCAGGAGAGGGCACUCACCAGCUGCGGAGCAUUACCGAUCAGCGGCAGCUGCAGUUCCUCUAAUCAACCGCAGCAGACCUCUAUUUAAGAGGAGAGGGAACCACUUCACAUCGCUGGAUGAUUAACUACUCACGGAUACUUGGAAUCGCUGAGCCAUUGUUGGAUGUACCUACCUGGAAGUCACCAUAAAGCCGGGCGUACACUGCGACUUUUUCACUCGUAGCACUCAGCUUCAGCUCAAACUGUACGACUUCCUCGCAGGGCAGAUCUCACGAGUCAUGUGCUCACACUGCACGACCCAGUUCUCGGAUGCGACCUGACUGCUCACACUGUACGUCUGGUAGCAACACGUCGGCCCUAAAAAUGUGCUAAAAAUAGCAGUUUUUACUCAACACGUCAGACUUUUUUGUCUUGUCUGUUGUCCUUCGGGAGUGCUGCAGGAGGACACACAGGGAUUUAUGGGGGUUGGAUGUGGAAAACGAAAUAAAGUGAAUCUGUGUUUUGUGAUCAGUUUAAUUUGACAUGAACACGACAAACACGCUUUCUUGACAAUCAUUGUGAGUAAAAAAAAACGUGUAGAAACAAAAACGAACAGCGUGUGUUAUUAGGGAAACAGCGAGCGACCGGCCGGCGUUGAUGCAGGAUUGCGCGCGCAUACGCCGUGAGCGGUUCUGAUACUUUUUGGAUCGUAGCUGCUCGCAGCGCCGCUUCAACAGUGCGAUACCCUCACGAGGGACGAGCGAAAUAUUAAACACACCAGAAGUCCCUGCGACCUCACGACUGCUGAUCGGCGGCUGGUCACGUGGUGUUAAUCGCCUCUCGUAACCCCCUGUACACUACACGACCGCUCGGCGCAAAACUCGCCCCGAUGUCGUGGCUUCUCGCACGACUGGAAAAUCGGCUCAAAAAAGUGAAAAAGUCGCACAGUGUACGCCCGGCUUAACCCGCCUGGAUUACAAUUCUCAAGGUUCGCCUCUCCUCCUGCUCCACUGCCCUCUGCUGCCAUCAUCUGGCUCCCUCUCCUGGACACCCCGUCACACCGUCUACCCUCCCUGCUGGCUUCUGGACUCGUGCCGGCUACGUUGUACUUGGAUAUCUUCAGGACACUUUUAGUUAGGUUAAAUAAAUCAUUGUUUGAACUUUCUUCCUUUGUCAUGUGAUGAUUCUUCAUGUCGUGGGUUAAACACCUUCCCAGGGACAUAACAUUCUGUUUGAGCAGAACUAAUCCGUCUUUCUCCAAACACAGGCUGUUCAAAGAGCAAUGAUGAUAAAUUAUAGCUUUUUCACACAAUCCCACUUCAAAGAUGUGAACUAUGACUAUAAAGCUAUUGUUUUGGAUUUAGGGAUUUAAUCCACAACAUUCAGUCUUUUCUUUCAGAUACAAUCUGCAUUCUGAGCAUUUCUUGCAUAAAUAAACAGAAUUCAGCUGGA
Molecule: non-coding RNA, 5842 nt
Organism: Nothobranchius furzeri (turquoise killifish)
Lineage: Eukaryota; Metazoa; Chordata; Actinopteri; Cyprinodontiformes; Nothobranchiidae
Source: RefSeq, a predicted model, not a curated record